RNAcentral lists this ribosomal RNA (392 nucleotides) under uncultured bacterium. RNAcentral describes it as "partial 16S ribosomal RNA". It matches the Rfam family "Bacterial small subunit ribosomal RNA", at positions 523 to 918 of the family's 1533-position model. The record is from RNAcentral.
AUACGGAGGAUCCGAGCGUUAUCCGGAUUUAUUGGGUUUAAAGGGUGCGCAGGCGGCCAUUUAAGUCAGCGGUUAAAUCGUGGGGCUCAACCCCAUUCUGCCGUUGAUACUGGGUGGCUUGAUUGCGGUCGAGGUCGGCGGAAUUCGUUGUGUAGCGGUGAAAUGCAUAGAUAUGACGAAGAACACCGAUUGCGUAGGCAGCUGACCAGACCGCAAAUGACGCUCAUGCACGAAAGUGCGGGGAUCGAACAGGAUUAGAUACCCUGGUAGUCCGCACAGUAAACGAUGAAUACUUGUUUUCGGCGAUAUAAUGUCGGAGGCAAAGCGAAAGCGAUAAGUAUUCCACCUGGGGAGUACGCCGGCAACGGUGAAACUCAAAUGAAUUGACGGGG